RNAcentral lists this ribosomal RNA (253 nucleotides) under uncultured bacterium. RNAcentral describes it as "partial 16S ribosomal RNA". It matches the Rfam family "Bacterial small subunit ribosomal RNA", at positions 524 to 776 of the family's 1533-position model. The record is from RNAcentral.
UACGUAGGUGGCAAGCGUUAUCCGGAUUUACUGGGUGUAAAGGGCGAGUAGGCGGGAAAGAAAGUCAGGUGUGAAAUACCAGGGCUCAACCCUGGGGCUGCACUUGAAACUUCUUUUCUUGAGUGAUGGAGAGGCAGGCGGAAUUCCCGGUGUAGCGGUGGAAUGCGUAGAUAUCGGGAGGAACACCAGUGGCGAAGGCGGCCUGCUGGACAUUAACUGACGCUGAGGAGCGAAAGCGUGGGGAGCAAACAGG